RNAcentral lists this ribosomal RNA (252 nucleotides) under uncultured bacterium. RNAcentral describes it as "partial 16S ribosomal RNA". It matches the Rfam family "Bacterial small subunit ribosomal RNA", at positions 793 to 1055 of the family's 1533-position model. The record is from RNAcentral.
GUCCACGCCGUAACGAUGAUUACUCGAUAUACACGCUUGUCGUGUGUGUCCAAGCGAAGCGUUAAGUAAUCCACCUGGGAGUACGCGCGCAAGCGUGAAACUCAAAGGAAUUGACGGGUCCGCACAAGCGGUGGAGCAUGUGGUUUAAUUCGAUAAUACGCGAGGAACCUUACCUGGGCUCGAAUGUCUCUGCUACCUUGAGAAAUUAAGGGUUCCUUCGGGACAGAGUACAAGGUGCUGCAUGGCCGUCGU